UAUAGUUGUAACACCCUGAACCUGCCUUAUCUUAGCUGAUCUUUGAAGCUAAGCAGCGUUGGACCUGGUUAGUACUUGGAUGGGAGAAAAGUGAAAACAUUCAAGUCCUGGACACUUCAAUGU
Molecule: ribosomal RNA, 123 nt
Organism: Cebus imitator (Panamanian white-faced capuchin)
Lineage: Eukaryota; Metazoa; Chordata; Mammalia; Primates; Cebidae
Source: Ensembl